RNAcentral lists this ribosomal RNA (481 nucleotides) under uncultured Methanosaeta sp. RNAcentral describes it as "bacterial SSU rRNA". It matches the Rfam family "Archaeal small subunit ribosomal RNA", at positions 856 to 1338 of the family's 1478-position model. Lineage: Archaea; Methanobacteriati; Methanobacteriota; Methanomicrobia; Methanotrichales; Methanotrichaceae. The record is from RNAcentral.
UUAAAUGAAUGACGGGGAGCACCACAACGGGUGGAGCUUGCGGUUUAAUUGGAUUCAACGCCGGAAAUCUUACCGGGACCGACAGCAAUAUGAAGGCCAGGCUGAAGACUUUGCCGGAUUAGCUGAGAGGUGGUGCAUGGCCGUCGUCAGUUCGUACUGUGAAGCAUCCUGUUAAGUCAGGCAACGAGCGAGACCCACGCCCACAGUUGCCAGCGUACUCUCUGGAGUGACGGGUACACUGUGGGGACCGCCGCUGCUAAAGCGGAGGAAGGAAUGGGCAACGGUAGGUCAGUAUGCCCCGAAUAUCCCGGGCUACACGCGAGCUACAAUGGUUGGUACAAUGGGUAUCUACCCCGAAAGGGGACGGGAAUCUCCUAAAACCAAUCUUAGUUCGGAUUGAGGGCUGUAACUCGCCCUCAUGAAGCUGGAAUCCGUAGUAAUCGCGUUUCAACAGAACGCGGUGAAUACGUCCCUGCUCCUU